This 111-nucleotide ribosomal RNA is filed under the name uncultured bacterium. Its description in RNAcentral is "partial 16S ribosomal RNA". It matches the Rfam family "Bacterial small subunit ribosomal RNA", at positions 1373 to 1482 of the family's 1533-position model. The record is from RNAcentral.
CCCGGGCCUUGUACACACCGCCCGUCACACCACGAAAAGCUGCUUGAACCAGAAGUCCGCAACCUAACCCUCGGGAAGGAGCGGCCCAAGGUUUGAGUAGUGAUUGGGGUG